UGGGGGAAUUUUGGACAAUGGGGGAAACCCUGAUCCAGCCAUCCCGCGUGUGCGAUGAAGGCCUUCGGGUUGUAAAGCACUUUUGGCAGGAAAGAAACGUCGCGGGUUAAUACCCCGCGAAACUGACGGUACCUGCAGAAUAAGCACCGGCUAACUACGUGCCAGCAGCCGCGGUAAUACGUAGGGUGCAAGCGUUAAUCGGAAUUACUGGGCGUAAAGCGUGCGCAGGCGGUUCGGAAAGAAAGAUGUGAAAUCCCAGAGCUUAACUUUGGAACUGCAUUUUUAACUACCGGGCUAGAGUGUGUCAGAGGGAGGUGGAAUUCCGCGUGUAGCAGUGAAAUGCGUAGAUAUGCGGAGGAACACCGAUGGCGAAGGCAGCCUCCUGGGAUAACACUGACGCUCGUGCACGAAAGCGUGGGGAGCAAACAGGAUUAGAUACCCUGGUAGUCCACGCCCUAAACGAUGUCAACUAGCUGUUGGGGCCUUCGGGCCUUGGUAGCGCAGCUAACGCGUGAAGUUGACCGCCUGGGGGAGUACGGUCGCAAGA
This 547-nucleotide ribosomal RNA is filed under the name uncultured bacterium. RNAcentral's name for it is "partial 16S ribosomal RNA". It matches the Rfam family "Bacterial small subunit ribosomal RNA", at positions 354 to 893 of the family's 1533-position model. The record is from RNAcentral.